GUUUCUAUAAUUUAACUAAAAUAGUGAUUUUGUAAAUCAAAUAUGAGUCUAACUCUAGAGAUA
RNAcentral lists this transfer RNA (63 nucleotides) under Prionopetalum kraepelini. RNAcentral describes it as "tRNA-Thr". Lineage: Eukaryota; Metazoa; Arthropoda; Diplopoda; Spirostreptida; Odontopygidae. The record is from RNAcentral.